Long non-coding RNA from Suricata suricatta (meerkat), 465 nucleotides. RefSeq lists it as uncharacterized. The record is from RefSeq and is a predicted model, not a curated record. The transcript is spliced from 3 exons. Lineage: Eukaryota; Metazoa; Chordata; Mammalia; Carnivora; Herpestidae.
CGCAGACCGCAGCGGCGGGUGUGUGCUCUGAAGAGGAGAGCAGCCGUGGGAAACAAGAGCUUCAUAAAAUGGAAUCAGAGAGUCUACACUCGUCUGUCUGGCUCCCGUUGCUCAGCCUAAUGUCUGUGAGAGCCAUCUCCUGUUCUUCCUCCAGGUGAAAAAUUAUGGGAACUGUCACACCAAAUCAGCUGGGCACCCUUCUGUCAUGGGAUCCAGACCGGGAGAAGAGUGCUUGCCUGGCGGAGUGCAUGUGACCAGCGUGUGACGGGCUGUGCAGGUCUGUGCCAUCCGGCGUCCGGAUGGCACCGGCUCUCCUGGCCCAAAUAACCAUAAAAAGGAACAGAUUUCAGGCAGGCAGUUUGACAGCGUUCCCGCCGAUUUUGCCAACUUCCAGCCACUUCUUUCUCUAGCCCCGAGCAAAAGAGGCACAGAACCAUUAUUAAAAUGCUCUCAAUAUAUAGGUCA